GACGAACGCUGGCGGCGUGCUUAACACAUGCAAGUCGAGCGGUAAGGCCCUUUCGGGGGUACACGAGCGGCGAACGGGUGAGUAACACGUGGGCGACCUGCCCUCAGCUCUGGGAUAAGCCUGGGAAACCGGGUCUAAUACUGGAUAUGACUCCAUGACGCAUGUUGUGGGGUGGAAAGCCUUGUGCGGCUGAGGAUGGGCCCGCGGCCUAUCAGCUUGUUGGUGGGGUGANGGCCUACCAAGGCGACGACGGGUAGCCGGCCUGAGAGGGCGACCGGCCACACUGGGACUGAGACACGGGCCCAGACUCCUACGGGAGGCAGCAGUGGGGAAUCUUGCGCAAUGGGCGAAAGCCUGACGCAGCGACGCCGCGUGAGGGAUGACGGCCU
This 389-nucleotide ribosomal RNA is filed under the name uncultured bacterium. Its description in RNAcentral is "bacterial SSU rRNA". It matches the Rfam family "Bacterial small subunit ribosomal RNA", at positions 28 to 417 of the family's 1533-position model. The record is from RNAcentral.